GAUCGGAUUUAGUGGCGGACGGGUGAGUAACGCGUGAGUAAUCUGCCUUCAGGAGGGGGAUAACACUGGGAAACCAGUGCUAAUACCGCAUAACGUCAAUGGAAAGCAUUUUGUAUUGACCAAAGAUUUAUCACCUGAAGAUGAGCUCGCGUCUGAUUUGCUAGUUGGCGGGGUAACGGCCCACCAAGGCGACGAUCAGUAGCCGAACUGAGAGGUUGAUCGGCCACAUUGGGACUGAGACACGGCCCAGACUCCUACGGGAGGCAGCAGUGGGGGAUAUUGCGCAAUGGGGGAAACCCUGACGCAGCAACGCCGCGUGAAGGAAGAAGGUCUUCGGAUUGUAAACUUUUGUCUUAUGGGACGAAACAAAUGACGGUACCAUAGGAGGAAGCCACGGCUAACUACGUGCCAGCAGCCGCGGUAAUACGUAGGUGGCGAGCGUUGUCCGGAUUUAUUGGGUUUAAAGGGUGCGUAGGCGGAUUGAUAAGUCAGUGGUGAAAACCUGCAGCUUAACUGUAGACUUGCCGUUGAUACUGUCAGUCUUGAGUGUGGUCAAGGUAGGCGGAAUGUGUAAUGUAGCGGUGAAAUGCUUAGAUAUUACACAGAACACCGAUUGCGAAGGCAGCUUACUGGGCCAUUACUGACGCUGAUGCACGAAAGCGUGGGGAUCGAACAGGAUUAGAUACCCUGGUAGUCCACGCCGUAAACGAUGAUCACUCGCUGUUAGCGAUACACAGUUAGCGGCUAAGCAAAAGCAUUAAGUGAUCCACCUGGGGAGUACGGCCGCAAGGCUGAAACUCAAAGGAAUUGACGGGGGCCCGCACAAGCGGAGGAACAUGUGGUUUAAUUCGAUGAUACGCGAGGAACCUUACCUGGGCUUAGAUGUAGAGUGCAUUCAGCUGAAAGGCUGAUUUCCUUCGGGACUUUCUGCAAGGUGCUGCAUGGUUGUCGUCAGCUCGUGCCGUGAGGUGUCGGGUUAAGUCCCAUAACGAGCGCAACCCUUAUCGUUAGUUGCCAGCGGGUAAUGCCGGGAACUCUAACGAAACUGCCGGUGUAAACCGAGAGGAAGGUGGGGAUGACGUCAAAUCAGCACGGCCCUUAUGUCCAGGGCUACACACGUGUUACAAUGGCCGGUACAGAGGGCAGCUAUGCCGCGAGGCAAUGCGAAUCUCGAAAGCCGGUCUCAGUUCGGAUAGGAGUCUGCAACCCGACCCCACGAAGCUGGAUUCGCUAGUAAUCGCGCAUCAGCCAUGGCGCGGUGAAUAAAUGGCCGGGCCUUGCACACACCGCCCGUCA
Molecule: ribosomal RNA, 1296 nt
Filed under: uncultured bacterium
Lineage: Bacteria
Description: partial 16S ribosomal RNA
Rfam family: Bacterial small subunit ribosomal RNA
Source: RNAcentral